RNAcentral lists this small nuclear RNA (162 nucleotides) under Microtus ochrogaster (prairie vole). Its description in RNAcentral is "U1 spliceosomal RNA (ENSMOCG00000004731.1)". It matches the Rfam family "U1 spliceosomal RNA". From Rfam's summary of the family: U1 is a small nuclear RNA (snRNA) component of the spliceosome (involved in pre-mRNA splicing). Its 5' end forms complementary base pairs with the 5' splice junction, thus defining the 5' donor site of an intron. Lineage: Eukaryota; Metazoa; Chordata; Mammalia; Rodentia; Cricetidae. The record is from RNAcentral.
AUACUUACCUGGCUGGAUUGAUAUGACCGCAAAGGUUAUUUUCCCAGGGUAAGGCUUAUUCAUUGUACUCUGGAUGUGCUUACCCCAUAUGAUUUCCCAAAAUAUGGGAAACUUGACUGCAUGAUUCAUGGCAGUGGGGGCCUGUAUUCAUGCCCUCCCAUG